GAUGAACGCUGGCGGCGUGCUUAACACAUGCAAGUCGAACGAUGAAGCCCAGCUUGCUGGGUGGAUUAGUGGCGAACGGGUGAGUAACACGUGAGUAACCUGCCCUUAACUCUGGGAUAAGCCUGGGAAACUGUGUCUAAUACCGGAUAGGAGCGUCCACCGCAUGGUGGGUGUUGGAGAGAUUUAUCGGUUUUGGAUGGACUCGCGGCCUAUCAGCUUGUUGGUGAGGUAAUGGCUCACCAAGGCGACGACGGGUAGCCGGCCUGAGAGGGUGACCGGCCACACUGGGACUGAGACACGGCCCAGACUCCUACGGGAGGCAGCAGUGGGGAAUAUUGCACAAUGGGCGAAAGCCUGAUGCAGCGACGCCGCGUGAGGGAUGACGGCCUUCGGGUUGUAAACCUCUUUCAGUAGGGAAGAAGCGAAAGUGACGGUACCUGCAGAAGAAGCACCGGCUAACUACGUG
RNAcentral lists this ribosomal RNA (466 nucleotides) under uncultured bacterium. Its description in RNAcentral is "partial 16S ribosomal RNA". It matches the Rfam family "Bacterial small subunit ribosomal RNA", at positions 28 to 507 of the family's 1533-position model. The record is from RNAcentral.